RNAcentral lists this ribosomal RNA (497 nucleotides) under uncultured bacterium. RNAcentral describes it as "partial 16S ribosomal RNA". It matches the Rfam family "Bacterial small subunit ribosomal RNA", at positions 28 to 507 of the family's 1533-position model. The record is from RNAcentral.
GAUGAACGCUGGCGGCGUGCCUAAUACAUGCAAGUCGAGCGAACGGACGAGAAGCUUGCUUCUCUGAUGUUAGCGGCGGAGGGGGGAGUAACACGUGGAUAACCUACCUAUAAAACUGGGAUAACUUCGGGAAACCGGAGCUAAUACCGGAUAAUAUUUUAAACCGCAUGUUUCAAAAGUGAAAGACGGCCUUGCUGUCACUUAUAGAUGAAUCCCCGCUGCAUUAGCUAGUUGGUAAGGUAACGGCUUACCAAGGCAACGAUGCAUAGCCGACCUGAGAGGGUGAUCGGCCACACUGGAACUGAGACACGGUCCAGACUCCUACGGGAGGCAGCAGUAGGGAAUCUUCCGCAAUGGGCGAAAGCCUGACGGAGCAACGCCGCGUGAGUGAUGAAGGUCUUCGGAUCGUAAAACUCUGUUAUUAGGGAAGAACAUAUGUGUAAGUAACUGUGCACAUCUUGACGGUACCUAAUCAGAAAGCCACGGCUAACUACGUG